GAUGAACGCUGGCGGCGUGCUUAACACAUGCAAGUCGAACGAAGAUGCCGGAGUGCUUGCACUUUGGCAGACUGAGUGGCGGACGGGUGAGUAACGCGUGGGUAACCUGCCUUAUACAGGGGGAUAACAGUUGGAAACGACUGCUAAUACCGCAUAAGCGCGACGGUAUCGCAUGAUACAGUGUGAAAAACUCCGGUGGUAUAAGAUGGACCCGCGUCUGAUUAGCCAGUUGGCAGGGUAACGGCCUACCAAAGCGACGAUCAGUAGCCGGCCUGAGAGGGUGAACGGCCACAUUGGGACUGAGACACGGCCCAAACUCCUACGGGAGGCAGCAGUGGGGAAUAUUGCACAAUGGGGGAAACCCUGAUGCAGCGACGCCGCGUGAGUGAAGAAGUAUUUCGGUAUGUAAAGCUCUAUCAGCAGGGAAGAAGAAAUGACGGUACCUGACUAAGAAGCCCCGGCUAACUACGUG
RNAcentral lists this ribosomal RNA (472 nucleotides) under uncultured bacterium. RNAcentral describes it as "bacterial SSU rRNA". It matches the Rfam family "Bacterial small subunit ribosomal RNA", at positions 28 to 507 of the family's 1533-position model. The record is from RNAcentral.